GGCUUGUCGCUGCUCUGCUUGCGUUCUUUCAGGAGCAAAACAGAGGAGAGGAAAGUCCGGGCAACACAGGGCAUCUCGCUUCCUAACGGGAAGAGGCUCGCGAGGGUCUGUCUGUGCAGAAGAAAACAACCGCCCUUUGAAAUGUUGAAACCUCAAACAGUUGAAACGUUAAAAGGGGUAAGGGUGAGAAGGUGAGGUAAGAGCUCACCAGGUCGGCAGUGAUGUCGAUGCUGUGCACACCGAGAGUUGAAAGUUCAUGUAAACCCGCGCAUUUGUCCCGAGCUUGGCGAAGGAUAACGAGAGGGCGGCCCGUCCGAGCGGGAGGGUAGAACGAUAGAGGACAGCGGCGACGCUGUCAGUAGAUAAAUGACAGGCAUUCCUUAAACGGAACACAGAACCCGGCUUACAGGUUCACUGA
RNAcentral lists this RNase P RNA (418 nucleotides) under bovine gut metagenome. Its description in RNAcentral is "Bacterial RNase P class A". It matches the Rfam family "Bacterial RNase P class A". From Rfam's summary of the family: Ribonuclease P (RNase P) is a ubiquitous endoribonuclease, found in archaea, bacteria and eukarya as well as chloroplasts and mitochondria. The record is from RNAcentral.